UUUGAGAAUUUGAUCCUGGUUCAGGAUGAACGCUGGAAGUGUACCUUAAGCAUGCAAGUCGAGCGGUGAAUCUCGAGCUCGCAAGAGUUCGAGAGGAGCAGCGGCAGACGGGUGAGAAAAGACAGGAAUCUACCCUUUUGUGGGGAAUAGCCCGCCGAAAGGCGGGGUAAUACCGCAUAAGUUCGUAAGAAGAAAGGCCUUAACCGGCCGCAGAUGGAUGAGCCUGUUCGCUAUCAGCUAGUUGGUAGGGUAAAAGCCUACCAAGGCUACGACGGCUAGGGGGUGUGAGAGCAUGACCCCCCACAAGGUAACUGAGAUACGGUGCCUACACCUACGGGUGGCAGCAACUGGGAAUUUUGCACAAUGGACGAAAGUCUGAUGCAGUGACACUUCGUGUGGGAUGAAGGCCCUCGGGUCGUAAACCACUGUGAUAGGAGAAAACUAAAGAUGGUACCCUAUUAGAAAGCACCUGCUAACCACGUGCCAGAAGCCUCGGUAAUACGUGGGGUGCAAGCGUUAUCCGGAUUUAUUGGGCGUAAAGAGUAUCGUAGGCGGUUUGUUAAGUAUCGGGUUAAAGCCUGGGGCUCAACUCCAGAGAUGCUCGAUAAACUGGCAGACUAGCGGUUGUUCGGAGAUGUCGGAAUUCUUGGUGGAGGAGUGAAAUCCGUUGAUAUCAAGAAGAACACCAAAAGCGAAGGCAGGCAUCUAGGAUAUACCGUAAGCUAACGCGUUAAGUGUUCCGCCUGGGGAGUACGGCCGCAAGGCUAAAACUCAAAGGAAUUGACGGGGAAACGCACAAUCAGCGUGCCAUGUGGUUUAAUUGGAUACGAAACCUUGAACCUUACCUGGGUUUGACAUGUACCUGCAAAUCUCUGGAAACAGAGACGCCUUCGAGGGUGGUACACAGCUGCUGCAUGGUUGUCGUCAGUUCGUGUCGUGAGGCGUCUAUUUAAGUAUAGUAACGAACGCAACCCCUGUGCUAUGUUAAAUAUCCAUAGCAGACUGCCACGGUUUUUUCCGUGGAGGAAGGAGGGGAUGACGUCAAAUCAUCAUGGCGCUUAUAUCCAGGGCUACACACAUGGCGUAAUGGAUGAGACAACGGGGUGCGAAGCCGCGAGGCGGAGCAAAUCCUAAUAAACUCAUCCUCAGUUCGGAUCGCAGGCUGCAAUUCGCCUGCGUGAAGGGGAGUUGAUAGUAAUCGCAGAUCAGCAACACUGCGGUGAAUACGUUCUCGUUUCUUGUACACACUGCCCGUCAAGUCAACAAAGUCAGUAGUGCCCGAAGUAGGUACCCAUAACCGCAAGGAUUGGGCCUCCUAAGGUAAGACUGGCGAUGGGGGCUAAGUCGUAAACUUAUUGCGACCAUAGAGAGUAAUUUCUAUGAAAAUGUAUCGGUGAAGCCUAAACAUUCGGUAUACUUUCGGGUAUACUGGAGAUAUGGUAAUACCGAGGGAACCUGUUUCUGAGACAUCAGAGAUAGGACUCCGUAGAGACUACACGCGAGCGCCGCAAAUAUCGAAAGCUUAUAUAGUUGGUAUCCUUCAUGAUGCUACCAAAAGAAAGACUACUUUCAGGGUUUCACAAAAAUCCUCUAAGUUUGUCGAAAUGGUGGCUAAUGGAAUUAGAAGUUUGGGCGGAAACGCCUGGACUUAUAAAGAAGGAAGUAAUCGAAGUGUAUAUAUCGUUGAAUUUUCAAAAUCUUUUCUAAAAGAAUUUGAGAUUGUUUCCGAAAGGGACAAAAUUGAUUAUAUUCGAGGUUAUUUUGAUGCCGAUGGAGGGGUGGCAAAGAGCAGCAAAGUUAGAUUUUAUAUCUACUUUGCCCAGAAGGAUUAUUCUGAUCUCGAACAAGUAAGAAAUUAUUUGAAAGAGAUUCGCAUAGAUUGUGGAGUAAUCCAUAAUCCAAGCAAAAGGAUUGAUCCGUAUUAUUGGAGAUUUUUUGUAAAAGCAAAAUCUUAUGUAGAUUUUGUACAGAAAAUUGGUUCUUUGCAUCCGGAAAAAGCAAAAUAUUUGUGGAUGAAGAUAUAGUCCAUGCCACUAGAAAUACGUGGAAUUUCAUGAACAAGGUAUCCGUACUGGAAGGUGCGGAUGGAUCACCUCCUU
RNAcentral lists this ribosomal RNA (2099 nucleotides) under Candidatus Collierbacteria bacterium GW2011_GWC1_45_47. RNAcentral's name for it is "bacterial SSU rRNA". The stretch from base 1 to 1381 matches the Rfam family "Bacterial small subunit ribosomal RNA". The record is from RNAcentral. Lineage: Bacteria; Candidatus Collieribacteriota.